AUGCUUAAGUUGGAUAUAUCCAAAGCCUUUGAUUCAGUUUCAUAGGAGUUUCUGCUUAAGCUACGGCAAGGUCUGGGCUUUGGGCUGAAGUGGAGAGGAUGGAUAUCAGCCCUCUUUUUCUCUGCUUCACCAAGAAUAUUAGUCAACUCCAAAUGCACUCAACAAAUCCUCCAUCGUAAGGGCCUCAGGCAAGGAGAUCCCCUCUCCCCGGUGCUCGUUGUGCUUGUGGUGGACUGUCUUGGAAGGUUGAUGGACAAAGCACAAAGGAACAACAUCCUAUCCCCUCUGGGUAACCAACUUGUUAAACACCAUGCAUCUAUUUAA
Molecule: ribosomal RNA, 324 nt
Filed under: Triticum aestivum (bread wheat)
Lineage: Eukaryota; Viridiplantae; Streptophyta; Magnoliopsida; Poales; Poaceae
Description: partial small subunit ribosomal RNA
Source: RNAcentral